RNAcentral lists this ribosomal RNA (735 nucleotides) under uncultured bacterium. RNAcentral describes it as "bacterial SSU rRNA". It matches the Rfam family "Bacterial small subunit ribosomal RNA", at positions 649 to 1382 of the family's 1533-position model. The record is from RNAcentral.
UNGGAGAGGAAAGUGGAAUUCCUAGUGUAGCGGUGAAAUGCGUAGAUAUUAGGAAGAACACCAGUGGCGAAGGCGACUUUCUGGACGAAAACUGACGCUGAGGCGCGAAAGCCAGGGGAGCGAACGGGAUUAGAUACCCCGGUAGUCCUGGCCGUAAACGAUGGGUACUAGGCGUAGGAGGUAUCGACCCCUUCUGUGCCGGAGUUAACGCAAUAAGUACCCCGCCUGGGGAGUACGACCGCAAGGUUGAAACUCAAAGGAAUUGACGGGGGCCCGCACAAGCGGUGGAGUAUGUGGUUUAAUUCGACGCAACGCGAAGAACCUUACCAGGUCUUGACAUUGAUGGACAGAACUAGAGAUAGUUCCUCUUCUUCGGAAGCCAGAAAACAGGUGGUGCACGGUUGUCGUCAGCUCGUGUCGUGAGAUGUUGGGUUANNNNNNNCAACGAGCGCAACCCCUAUCUUAUGUUGCCAGCACUUCGGGUGGGAACUCAUGAGAGACUGCCGCAGACAAUGCGGAGGAAGGCGGGGAUGACGUCAAAUCAUCGUGCCCCUUAUGACCUGGGCUACACACGUACUACAAUGGGAGUUAAUAGACGGAAGCGAAACCGCGAGGUGGAGCAAACCCGAGAAACACUCUCUCAGUUCGGAUCGUAGGCUGCAACUCGCCUACGUGAAGUCGGAAUCGCUAGUAAUCGCAGGUCAGCAUACUGCGGUGAAUACGUUCCCGGGCCUU